CAUGAAAUCAGAGCUUAAAUCGGAAUUACAAGAAUCGAUAGGGAUCCAGUACCGUAUAGUAGAUACCGAUACAUGUGCAUGCGCACACACCUAUAUCAUAGAAUAUAAUGACAUUAUGUUAUAGACAUCGCAACGUCUACACCCACAUGUCACACCAUAUCCCUGCAGCCGAUCAUUCCUCACCCGACAAUAUCGUAAGCUGCUUAUAUUCCGCGGGCAAUUCGUCGUUUCACAUCGACUGACAAAAUACAGUCUUCCGUGGCGACGCGAGGCGACGUUGGGUUUUGCUCCUGCCUCAUCUUCUUCGUCUUCGUCGUCUCAACGGUGCCUACUCGGCAUUACGAGUAGAAGAACUCAAGUUUCAAGUUUCACGAGCUCGCCAACGCUCGUAAACAUUCGCACUCGAGGCUCGAGAGAGAGAGUGAAAAAGGCUGACUUCGUUCCUCGUGAGCUUCCAUGGAAUAUCGCACUUCGCUUCUAGUUUUGUUGCGAUUAAAUAAAGCGGGAAAUGAAAAGACGGAUGGGUUGUGCAGCGGCUGAUUCGUCGUCAGCUGUAAGAAAUACCACCGCAAAGGGAUGCCGCCGAUCGGGUGGAUCAAAGGGUCGACUCACGAGGUAUGAACAACAUCUUUAUCAGGUGAUGACAGUUCGUCUGACACCUGUUAACAAUAGGAGCAAGAAAAAAAUAAAACUUGGCCCAACACAAUUUUUUGGAACUCGGACGAUCGCUAAAAUAAUAAAAUAAUAAGUCAGCUCUUCAACAUCUCGUAUCACAAUACUCCGAUCCGAAUCUGCAAACAUUGAUUCUCGUUCACCCGAAAAGAGAAGAAAAAAAAACAACAACAACUUCUUUCAACCACCUGCUGCAUCACGCCACAGGGGAUUUCAGGAUAGUCUUGGACGUCGUUGGGGUUAAAAAUCUUGACUUUGUCUGUCUCUCUUAAGCGUCGCCGAGAGCGGAGAGGGCGUUGACCCCAUAUAACUAAUGAAUCCCGUUGAAUAUUCAACCGAGCGUCCCUGGUCGUCCCUGCAGUUGAGUCCCUCGAAGGGCUUACGACCCCGGACAGCUGGUCGCGUGCCGAGGGGCCCGCAGAACCCGAUGGGCCCCGACCACCAUGUGCUCCCUUUACCCUAACAGUCGGUUCGCCACGCGCGUACGUAUAUAUCAAGCGCAGCGGACGUAUAAAUGCAGCUUUUAUUUCAUACGCGAGUAUCUCCAGCAGCGUAGCCGUAUAAAGAUUUCUUAAUAGGAUGAAGCAAAAAAAAAAAAAAACUGAAGAAAUUCCAGAAUUUUAUACGCGCCCCAUUGUCGUUCAGAGGAGUCGCGAUCCCCAACCCCAAUUCAGCAGGUCGACUUCGCGACGGCGUUAGAGGAUGUGAAACAUGACGGAUGACCUUUACAAAGAUUACGCGAAUGGGGCGUCGUCUGAGGGAGGGAAAAGUUUCAAAGCGUGAAACAUGCGGAACAAAGAAACAUUUUUUGUCUCGCCGGAGUUUCGGUUUGAGAACCGCUGUGUUUUGUGAGUGUAUAAAGUCGACUCCAAGGGAUGUGACUAUGUAACGUGUACACGUACAAAUUUAUACGUAUACUAGGUGUACGUAUGUAUGUUGUACUGAAGAUGGAAAACAAUUCCCGGUAAAUUCUGCAGGUCAAUUGCAUUCAACUUUUACUCUGUCAAUAAUUACACGUUUCAAGACACUUGAAAGGCGUGCAGGAUCGGGUCAUUGGCACACUUUCUAAAUAAUAUACAUAUACAUAAUACGAAUAUGUCUACAUGCGUUUAAAAAACAAUCCCAAAUAUAUAUAUAUAUAUAGAGACGUAUGAUAAGUACGUGUACAACGUAACGCACUUUACCGUGGCUUUUCAUUCUAACACAAAUAAAUAAAGUGCAAAGUUUCAAAUUAGUACCGAUACGAGACCCGAAAAGAGAAAGAGAAUUAAUAAAAUAAAAAAACCGAUAUUUCUAUUUACUCGAACACAUGUCACAUUACCACAAGGCUGACUAUACUUGUUGAGCGUGUAAUAAUAAAUACAUCAACAUAUUACCACUCAAAAA
Athalia rosae (coleseed sawfly) is the source of this 2058-nucleotide long non-coding RNA. RefSeq lists it as uncharacterized. Lineage: Eukaryota; Metazoa; Arthropoda; Insecta; Hymenoptera; Athaliidae. The record is from RefSeq and is a predicted model, not a curated record. The transcript is spliced from 4 exons.